RNAcentral lists this ribosomal RNA (643 nucleotides) under uncultured actinomycete. RNAcentral describes it as "bacterial SSU rRNA". It matches the Rfam family "Bacterial small subunit ribosomal RNA", at positions 232 to 885 of the family's 1533-position model. Lineage: Bacteria; Bacillati; Actinomycetota; Actinomycetes; Actinomycetales. The record is from RNAcentral.
CGCGGCCUAUCAGCUUGUUGGUGGGGUGAUGGCCUACCAAGGCGACGACGGGUAGCCGGCCUGAGAGGGCGACCGGCCACACUGGGACUGAGACACGGCCCAGACUCCUACGGGAGGCAGCAGUGGGGAAUAUUGCACAAUGGGCGGAAGCCUGAUGCAGCGACGCCGCGUGAGGGAUGACGGCCUUCGGGUUGUAAACCUCUUUCAGCAGGGACGAAGCGUGAGUGACGGUACCUGCAGAAGAAGCGCCGGCCAACUACGUGCCAGCAGCCGCGGUAAGACGUAGGGCGCGAGCGUUGUCCGGAUUUAUUGGGCGUAAAGAGCUCGUAGGCGGCUUGUCGCGUCGACUGUGAAAACCCACGGCUCAACCGCGGGCUUGCAGUCGAUACGGGCAGGCUAGAGUUCGGUAGGGGAGACUGGAAUUCCUGGUGUAGCGGUGAAAUGCGCAGAUAUCAGGAGGAACACCGGUGGCGAAGGCGGGUCUCUGGGCCGAUACUGACGCUGAGGAGCGAAAGCGUGGGGAGCGAACAGGAUUAGAUACCCUGGUAGUCCACGCUGUAAACGUUGGGCGCUAGGUGUGGGGGGCCUCUCCGGUUCUCUGUGCCGCAGCUAACGCAUUAAGCGCCCCGCCUGGGGAGUACGG